UUAUAGGGCUCAGCGGUAGAGCGCUCGCCUCGCACAUGUGAGACCUGGGUUCGAUCCUCAGCACCACAUAAA
Molecule: transfer RNA, 72 nt
Filed under: Marmota monax (woodchuck)
Lineage: Eukaryota; Metazoa; Chordata; Mammalia; Rodentia; Sciuridae
Description: tRNA.Ala
Source: RNAcentral